This 442-nucleotide ribosomal RNA is filed under the name uncultured bacterium. RNAcentral's name for it is "partial 16S ribosomal RNA". It matches the Rfam family "Bacterial small subunit ribosomal RNA", at positions 338 to 795 of the family's 1533-position model. The record is from RNAcentral.
CCUACGGGAGGCAGCAGUAGGGAAUCUUUCACAAUGGGCGAAAGCCUGAUGGAGCAACGCCGCGUGCAGGAUGAAGGCCUUCGGGUUGUAAACUGCUUUUAUAAGCGAGAAAUAUGAUGGUAACUUAUGAAUAAGGAUCGGCUAACUACGUGCCAGCAGCCGCGGUCAUACGUAGGAUCCGAGCAUUAUCCGGAGUGACUGGGUGUAAAGAGUUGCGUAGGUGGCAUAAUAAGUAGCUAGUGAAAUCUGGUGGCUCAACCAUUCAGACUAUUAGCUAAACUGUUAAGCUCGAGACCGUUAGGGGUAACUGGAAUUUCUAGUGCAGGAGUGAAAUCCGUAGAUAUUAGAAGGAACACCAAUAGCGUAGGCAGGUUGCUGGGACGGUUCUGACACUAAGGCACGAAAGCGUAGGGAGCAAACGGGAUUAGAUACCCCAGUAGUC